UUUCAGAUAGCUCAGCCAGCAGAGCACGAGACCUUGAAUCUCAGGGCAGUGAGUUCGAGCCCCACAUUGGGCAAAA
This is a non-coding RNA of Podarcis lilfordi (Lilford's wall lizard), 76 nucleotides long. The record is from the annotation of a GenBank genome assembly. Lineage: Eukaryota; Metazoa; Chordata; Lepidosauria; Squamata; Lacertidae.